GGUUGUGGCUUAGCGGUAGAGCACUUGCCUAGCACGUGUGAGGCCCUGGGUUCGAUCCUCAGCACCA
RNAcentral lists this transfer RNA (67 nucleotides) under Marmota monax (woodchuck). It matches the Rfam family "tRNA". Rfam says of the family: Transfer RNA (tRNA) molecules are approximately 80 nucleotides in length. Their secondary structure includes four short double-helical elements and three loops (D, anti-codon, and T loops). Lineage: Eukaryota; Metazoa; Chordata; Mammalia; Rodentia; Sciuridae. The record is from Rfam by way of RNAcentral.